UAUAUUCCAAAGCACAUAUGCGAAUCUUGACCGUCAAUUUCCCCCGAUCAAAUAACUCAAAAGUCCAAUCUCCCCUUCUUUAGCUCUGUGUCCGUGCUCUCCACACUCUACUGCUAGGGUUUUUUUACAAUUUCUUUCAAAAUUUUAACUUUUAAGAGACGUUGAAAUGGGAAAAAGUUAUCCAACUGUGAGUGAGGAUUACCAGAAGGCCGUUGUAAAAUGCAAGAGACAGUUAAGAGCGCUCAUUGCUUAUAAGAACUGCGCUCCUCUCAUGCUCCGUCUCGCAUGGCACUCUGCUGGUACGUUUGAUGUUUGCAGCAAAACUGGAGGUCCUUUUGGGACCAUGAGGCUUAAGGCUGAGCAGGCACACUCAGCCAAUAAUGGCAUUGACAUUGCUAUUGGGCUCUUGGAGCCCAUAAAAGAGCUAUUUCCCAUCCUUUCUUAUGCUGAUUUCUAUCAGUUGGCUGGAGUUGUUGCUGUUGAAGUUACAGGAGGACCCGAAGUUCCAUUCCACCCAGGAAGGCAGGACAAGAAUGAGCCACCUGUUGAAGGUCGUUUGCCUGAUGCUACAAAGGGAUCUGACCAUUUGAGGGAUGUCUUUAUCAAACAAAUGGGUUUGAGUGACAAGGAUAUUGUUGCACUCUCUGGCGGCCACACCCUGGGAAGAUGCCACAAGGAACGUUCUGGAUUCGAGGGACCCUGGACUUCCAAUCCCCUCAUCUUCGAUAAUUCUUACUUCAAGGAGCUUCUGAGUGGCGAGAAAGAAGGACUUCUGCAGUUGCCAUCUGACAAGGCUCUUCUCUCUGAUUCCAUCUUUCACCCACUCGUUGAGAAAUAUGCUGCGGUUGGAUGAAGAUGCCUUCUUUGCCGAUUAUGCCGAGGCUCACCUGAAACUUUCUGAAUUGGGAUUUGCCGAUGCAUAAUCUUAAUUCACGUGCUGCAAUUUGGGUGUGUUGGCCUAUUUUUUGUCUAUCCUUUAUGUUUAAGUUCUUGUAAAACUAGGUGGAUCUAUUCACCUUUUGUGCUUUGAUGGAUUUGUUGCAUUUGGAAUUGCUGUUGCAAUCAAUGAUAUAUGGUCAUGACCUCCCUGAAAUAAAUUAGAACAUUUGCGGUCUCGCCCUC
Molecule: RNA transcript, 1122 nt
Organism: Olea europaea var. sylvestris
Lineage: Eukaryota; Viridiplantae; Streptophyta; Magnoliopsida; Lamiales; Oleaceae
Gene name: L-ascorbate peroxidase, cytosolic-like
Exons: 10
Source: RefSeq, a predicted model, not a curated record